This is a long non-coding RNA of Vollenhovia emeryi, 1851 nucleotides long. RefSeq lists it as uncharacterized. The record is from RefSeq and is a predicted model, not a curated record. NCBI's taxonomy places the organism in Eukaryota, Metazoa, Arthropoda, Insecta, Hymenoptera, Formicidae. The transcript is spliced from 3 exons.
UAUAACAUAUAUGUGUGUGUGUGUGUGUGUGUGUGUGUGUGUGUGAAAUUACUCGGGGAGACCCCCCGAACAACAUACUAAAAAAUAAAUGAAAUCGGAGAGAUGGCCCCUUUUAUGCAUAAUUACUCUGAUCGAAGUUGAGAAGUCUUUCGAAGUAUAAUAAGUAUCCAUUAUUCGUAAGAUUUGCGUAUGAACAUAUUUGUACAGAUAGAUGUAACCAGAUUAUCGAGUUGUGAAACUUUGACCUUAUUGAAACUUUGACAUUAAACCUCGAGCCGUGAGCAUUUCGGCGAGUAUUUCUGUGGUUUUUAUCGAGAUGAGUAACAUAAACUCGCCGAAAUGCUUGCAGCUUGAGAUUUGGCUCAAGAUUUGGCUCGAUAGCCUCCACGUGCGUUUAGAAUGUAUGUACUUGACUAAUUAAUAAUAACGGCGUGUGCGUGUGCGUGUGCUUGUAUGUGCGAGACAGAGCGAGAGAGAGAGAGAGAGAGAGAGAGAGAGAGAGAGAAUCAGCAACAUAUGCAUUGUGCAUCGAUAGAUAUUUAUAAGACACUCUUAUAUUUAAGACUGUUUGAAGUAUUAUCUUGUUAUAAACCAAUCAUAUUUAAAAAAUUGACAAGUUGUAAAGUUGCUUUUUCUGCUUGAACGCAGCCAUUACUUGCAUUAUUAUUAUUUUACAGCUCUCACAUAUCUUUUGUCAACACAUUUUCACAAUAUUUCAACAAUUUAUGAAAAUAUGCAUUUUGUACAGCAAAGCAAAGUAUACGGCUUACCAAUAAAAAUGAUGAUUUCUCAGAGUUAAUAGAAAAAUUGAAUUUAGACAUAUCUGAAGAUUCCAAAACAUUCCAAAAGAGCAAAUUACAAUGCAGCUUCUUUCAUACAUGAACCUCCGAAGCAAAAAGUCAAACAAAAAGGCAUUGCGACAAAGAAAAAUCAUAAUAAAGCAUCUAUUGCUUUGUCAAGAAAUAGCAUAAUAAAAUGUGUUACUACUUCUGCUGAUAUUACAAAAAUUCAUCAAGAAGCUAUCGAUAAAGCAGAAGAAAUGCAAACGUAUGUACAACCGUACAUAAUAGUUAUGGGUUCUAUUGCAAACGUAUCAAACUCAUAUGUCACGAUUGAUGAAGUGUUGUAUUCAACGGAAUCAACGUUAGAAGCUUUAGAUGUGAGCUUCAAAGCUUUUCACGUAUUGAAAAUAAAUUAUCCAGAUGCUAGCAAGCAUUUAUGGAUAUUUGUACAAAAAGGAUUGUACAAGGUAUACACACAGUGAGACAUGUCAUUUUCAAAUACUGAACAUGUUCUGAGAAAGCUUACAAUAAAUUCAGUCUAAAAUGAUCCAAUAUGUAGCAGGCAGUUAAUGUAAGUUAUUAUUUUUUCCGUUAUAAAUUGAUUCCUUUAUAAAUUUUCAUUUAUAUCAUUAUAUAACUGUAUUGUUAGAUGAUAUAAGUAUACUUUUAGUUUUGUUUAUAUAAUUAUAUAAUUAUAUACAUAUGUAUAUGACAUGUAAUUCGUAAGUCAAUACAUAUUGUACAAUACAUAGUAAUGUUUCUAAAGAAAUUGUUGUCUAACCUUUACAUUUUUUGAUAAAACUAAAUAUUAAACUAAAAAAUCAUACAGUAUUAACAUAAUAAUUACAAGCUUUCUAUAUCCAAAAUGUUUAAUUGUAUGUUUUAAUAAAGUGUUUUCUUAUUUCACGCAUUUAAAAUGCCAUAUUAAACUUAAACUUGUCGAUCAAUUAUAUUCAGAAACUAAAUGUAACUUUUCGAAUUGCAUGAAAUCAUAUACUACUGUUUAUUUACUACUUCGACACAUAUGUACAGCCCAUGAUAUUAAAUCAGAUAAAGGAAUUGAAUUUUA